UCCAGACUCCUACGGGAGGCAGCAGUGGGGAAUAUUGCACAAUGGGGGAAACCCUGAUGCAGCGACGCCGCGUGAGUGAAGAAGUAUUUCGGUACGUAAAGCUCUGUCAGCAGGGAAGAAAAUGACGGUACCUGACCAAGAAGCCCCGGCUAACUACGUGCCAGCAGCCGCGGUAAUACGUAGGGGGCAAGCGUUAUCCGGAUUUACUGGGUGUAAAGGGAGCGUAGACGGUGCGCCAAGUCUGGAGUGAAAUGCCGGGGCUUAACCCCGGACUGCUUUGGAAACUGUUUGACUGGAGUGCAGGAGAGGUAAGUGGAAUUCCUAGUGUAGCGGUGAAAUGCGUAGAUAUUAGGAGGAACACCAGUGGCGAAGGCGGCUUACUGGACUGUAACUGACGUUGAGGCUCGAAAGCGUGGGGAGCAAACAGGAUUAGAUACCCUGGUAAG
RNAcentral lists this ribosomal RNA (446 nucleotides) under uncultured bacterium. Its description in RNAcentral is "bacterial SSU rRNA". It matches the Rfam family "Bacterial small subunit ribosomal RNA", at positions 330 to 793 of the family's 1533-position model. The record is from RNAcentral.